This 253-nucleotide ribosomal RNA is filed under the name uncultured bacterium. Its description in RNAcentral is "partial 16S ribosomal RNA". It matches the Rfam family "Bacterial small subunit ribosomal RNA", at positions 524 to 776 of the family's 1533-position model. The record is from RNAcentral.
UACGUAGGGGGCAAGCGUUGUCCGGAAUCAUUGGGCGUAAAGCGCGUGUAGGCGGCCCGGUAAGUCCGCUCUGAAAGUCCAGGGCUCAACCCUGGAAAGCGGGUGGAUACUGCCGGGCUAGAAUCCGGAAGAGGCGAGUGGAAUUCCUGGUGUAGCGGUGGAAUGCGCAGAUAUCAGGAGGAACACCAAUAGCGAAGGCAGCUCGCUGGGACGGUAUUGACGCUAAGGCGCGAAAGCGUGGGGAGCAAACAGG